UACGUAGGGGGCUAGCGUUGUCCGGAAUCAUUGGGCGUAAAGCGCGCGUAGGCGGUCAGGUAAGUCCGGUGUGAAAGUCAAAGGCUCAACCUUUGAAUGCCGCUGGAUACUGCUUGACUUGAGUCCGGAAGGGGCGAGUGGAAUUCCUGGUGUAGCGGUGAAAUGCGCAGAUAUCAGGAGGAGCACCAAUGGCGAAGGCAGCUCGCUGGAACGGUACUGACGCUGAGGCGCGAAAGCGUGGGGAGCGAACAGG
This 253-nucleotide ribosomal RNA is filed under the name uncultured bacterium. Its description in RNAcentral is "partial 16S ribosomal RNA". It matches the Rfam family "Bacterial small subunit ribosomal RNA", at positions 524 to 776 of the family's 1533-position model. The record is from RNAcentral.